Molecule: ribosomal RNA, 2904 nt
Filed under: Staphylococcus aureus
Lineage: Bacteria; Bacillati; Bacillota; Bacilli; Caryophanales; Staphylococcaceae
Description: 23S ribosomal RNA
Rfam family: Bacterial large subunit ribosomal RNA
Source: RNAcentral
UAAGGGCGCACGGUGGAUGCCUUGGCACUAGAAGCCGAUGAAGGACGUUACUAACGACGAUAUGCUUUGGGGAGCUGUAAGUAAGCUUUGAUCCAGAGAUUUCCGAAUGGGGAAACCCAGCAUGAGUUAUGUCAUGUUAUCGAUAUGUGAAUACAUAGCAUAUCAGAAGGCACACCCGGAGAACUGAAACAUCUUAGUACCCGGAGGAAGAGAAAGAAAAUUCGAUUCCCUUAGUAGCGGCGAGCGAAACGGGAAGAGCCCAAACCAACAAGCUUGCUUGUUGGGGUUGUAGGACACUCUAUACGGAGUUACAAAGGACGACAUUAGACGAAUCAUCUGGAAAGAUGAAUCAAAGAAGGUAAUAAUCCUGUAGUCGAAAAUGUUGUCUCUCUUGAGUGGAUCCUGAGUACGACGGAGCACGUGAAAUUCCGUCGGAAUCUGGGAGGACCAUCUCCUAAGGCUAAAUACUCUCUAGUGACCGAUAGUGAACCAGUACCGUGAGGGAAAGGUGAAAAGCACCCCGGAAGGGGAGUGAAAUAGAACCUGAAACCGUGUGCUUACAAGUAGUCAGAGCCCGUUAAUGGGUGAUGGCGUGCCUUUUGUAGAAUGAACCGGCGAGUUACGAUUUGAUGCAAGGUUAAGCAGUAAAUGUGGAGCCGUAGCGAAAGCGAGUCUGAAUAGGGCGUUUAGUAUUUGGUCGUAGACCCGAAACCAGGUGAUCUACCCUUGGUCAGGUUGAAGUUCAGGUAACACUGAAUGGAGGACCGAACCGACUUACGUUGAAAAGUGAGCGGAUGAACUGAGGGUAGCGGAGAAAUUCCAAUCGAACCUGGAGAUAGCUGGUUCUCUCCGAAAUAGCUUUAGGGCUAGCCUCAAGUGAUGAUUAUUGGAGGUAGAGCACUGUUUGGACGAGGGGCCCCUCUCGGGUUACCGAAUUCAGACAAACUCCGAAUGCCAAUUAAUUUAACUUGGGAGUCAGAACAUGGGUGAUAAGGUCCGUGUUCGAAAGGGAAACAGCCCAGACCACCAGCUAAGGUCCCAAAAUAUAUGUUAAGUGGAAAAGGAUGUGGCGUUGCCCAGACAACUAGGAUGUUGGCUUAGAAGCAGCCAUCAUUUAAAGAGUGCGUAAUAGCUCACUAGUCGAGUGACACUGCGCCGAAAAUGUACCGGGGCUAAACAUAUUACCGAAGCUGUGGAUUGUCCUUUGGACAAUGGUAGGAGAGCGUUCUAAGGGCGUUGAAGCAUGAUCGUAAGGACAUGUGGAGCGCUUAGAAGUGAGAAUGCCGGUGUGAGUAGCGAAAGACGGGUGAGAAUCCCGUCCACCGAUUGACUAAGGUUUCCAGAGGAAGGCUCGUCCGCUCUGGGUUAGUCGGGUCCUAAGCUGAGGCCGACAGGCGUAGGCGAUGGAUAACAGGUUGAUAUUCCUGUACCACCUAUAAUCGUUUUAAUCGAUGGGGGGACGCAGUAGGAUAGGCGAAGCGUGCGAUUGGAUUGCACGUCUAAGCAGUAAGGCUGAGUAUUAGGCAAAUCCGGUACUCGUUAAGGCUGAGCUGUGAUGGGGAGAAGACAUUGUGUCUUCGAGUCGUUGAUUUCACACUGCCGAGAAAAGCCUCUAGAUAGAAAAUAGGUGCCCGUACCGCAAACCGACACAGGUAGUCAAGAUGAGAAUUCUAAGGUGAGCGAGCGAACUCUCGUUAAGGAACUCGGCAAAAUGACCCCGUAACUUCGGGAGAAGGGGUGCUCUUUAGGGUUAACGCCCAGAAGAGCCGCAGUGAAUAGGCCCAAGCGACUGUUUAUCAAAAACACAGGUCUCUGCUAAACCGUAAGGUGAUGUAUAGGGGCUGACGCCUGCCCGGUGCUGGAAGGUUAAGAGGAGUGGUUAGCUUCUGCGAAGCUACGAAUCGAAGCCCCAGUAAACGGCGGCCGUAACUAUAACGGUCCUAAGGUAGCGAAAUUCCUUGUCGGGUAAGUUCCGACCCGCACGAAAGGCGUAACGAUUUGGGCACUGUCUCAACGAGAGACUCGGUGAAAUCAUAGUACCUGUGAAGAUGCAGGUUACCCGCGACAGGACGGAAAGACCCCGUGGAGCUUUACUGUAGCCUGAUAUUGAAAUUCGGCACAGCUUGUACAGGAUAGGUAGGAGCCUUUGAAACGUGAGCGCUAGCUUACGUGGAGGCGCUGGUGGGAUACUACCCUAGCUGUGUUGGCUUUCUAACCCGCACCACUUAUCGUGGUGGGAGACAGUGUCAGGCGGGCAGUUUGACUGGGGCGGUCGCCUCCUAAAAGGUAACGGAGGCGCUCAAAGGUUCCCUCAGAAUGGUUGGAAAUCAUUCAUAGAGUGUAAAGGCAUAAGGGAGCUUGACUGCGAGACCUACAAGUCGAGCAGGGUCGAAAGACGGACUUAGUGAUCCGGUGGUUCCGCAUGGAAGGGCCAUCGCUCAACGGAUAAAAGCUACCCCGGGGAUAACAGGCUUAUCUCCCCCAAGAGUUCACAUCGACGGGGAGGUUUGGCACCUCGAUGUCGGCUCAUCGCAUCCUGGGGCUGUAGUCGGUCCCAAGGGUUGGGCUGUUCGCCCAUUAAAGCGGUACGCGAGCUGGGUUCAGAACGUCGUGAGACAGUUCGGUCCCUAUCCGUCGUGGGCGUAGGAAAUUUGAGAGGAGCUGUCCUUAGUACGAGAGGACCGGGAUGGACAUACCUCUGGUGUACCAGUUGUCGUGCCAACGGCAUAGCUGGGUAGCUAUGUGUGGACGGGAUAAGUGCUGAAAGCAUCUAAGCAUGAAGCCCCCCUCAAGAUGAGAUUUCCCAACUUCGGUUAUAAGAUCCCUCAAAGAUGAUGAGGUUAAUAGGUUCGAGGUGGAAGCAUGGUGACAUGUGGAGCUGACGAAUACUAAUCGAUCGAAGAC